GGUGAAGGCAUUGAAAGAGAAGAUUGAAUCAGAAAAGGGGAAAGAUGCUUUUCCAGCAGCUGGCCAAAAACUAAUUUAUGCAGGUAAAAUUCUUAAUGAUGAUACUCCUCUUAAAGAAUAUAAAAUAGAUGAGAAGAACUUUGUGGUGGUUAUGGUGACAAAACCCAAACCAGCAGCUGCACCAACACAAUCACUGGCAACAACUCAGCAAUCAAAUGCUAUCACCACUGUUAGCUCUACAAUGGCAGCUGCAGCUCCCACAUCAGUCCCUGCUCCAGCUCCUGUCUCUACCACUCCAACAUCAGCUGCAGUUGCUUGUGAACCUAUACCUGUAAGUGCCCCUAAAGAAGAGAAACCAUCUGAGACACCAGCUGUUCUCGGUCCAUCAUCAACUGGCAGUACAACAGGUGAUGCUUCUCAAUCAAAUCUUUUUGAAGAUGCUAUAAGUGCACUUGGUAAGUGCCAUUUUUAAUGUAGUCACUGCUUCAGUGCAGCAGAAACAAAUGAAGGAUGAGCAGAUGUUGACAUUCUCUACUACAUCUGUUAUUCCUAAAGUUAUAAUCAAAGCACUCUUCUCCAAGAACUAAAGUUGUCAUAGCAGAACUGACAUCAGGAACUUAUUUACUGAAAAACAUUUCACUUUAUAUGGAGUUAUUACAUGAAAAGAAAGAUGAAAGUUUUCUUCCCUCUGUUGAAGUGGCUUGGA
This is a non-coding RNA of Struthio camelus australis, 706 nucleotides long. The record is from RefSeq and is a predicted model, not a curated record. NCBI's taxonomy places the organism in Eukaryota, Metazoa, Chordata, Aves, Struthioniformes, Struthionidae.